This 279-nucleotide ribosomal RNA is filed under the name uncultured bacterium. RNAcentral describes it as "partial 16S ribosomal RNA". It matches the Rfam family "Bacterial small subunit ribosomal RNA", at positions 506 to 784 of the family's 1533-position model. The record is from RNAcentral.
UGCCAGCAGCCGCGGUAAUACGGAGGGGGCUAGCGUUGUUCGGAAUUACUGGGCGUAAAGCGCACGUAGGCGGACUAUUAAGUCAGGGGUGAAAUCCCGGGGCUCAACCCCGGAACUGCCUCUGAUACUGGCAGUCUAGAGUCCGAAAGAGGUGAGUGGAAUUCCGAGUGUAGAGGUGAAAUUCGUAGAUAUUCGGAGGAACACCAGAGGCGAAGGCGGCUUUCUGGACCAAUACUGACGCUGAGAUGCGAAAGCGUGGGGAGCGAACAGGAUUAGAUA